UGGUGGUUAUAGAGCCGGGGAAACACCCGAACCCAUUCCGAACUCGGAAGUUAAGCCCGACGUCGCCGAUGGUACUAAGAUUCUUGGGAGAGUAGGUUGCUGCCA
Molecule: ribosomal RNA, 105 nt
Filed under: marine eukaryotic metagenome
Source: RNAcentral